CGGUCCAGACUCCUACGGGAGGCAGCAGUGGGGAAUAUUGCACAAUGGGCGAAAGCCUGAUGCAGCCAUGCCGCGUGUGUGAAGAAGGCCCUAGGGUUGUAAAGCACUUUCAGCGAGGAGGAAAGGUUAUAGUUUAAUAGACUAUAGCUGUGACGUUACUCGCAGAAGAAGCACCGGCUAACUUCGUGCCAGCAGCCGCGGUAAUACGAGGGGUGCAAGCGUUAAUCGGAAUUACUGGGCGUAAAGCGUACGCAGGCGGUUUGUUAAGCGAGAUGUGAAAGCCCCGGGCUCAACCUGGGAACUGCAUUUCGAACUGGCAGACUAGAGUAUGAUAGAGGGUGGU
This 343-nucleotide ribosomal RNA is filed under the name uncultured Pseudoalteromonas sp. Its description in RNAcentral is "bacterial SSU rRNA". It matches the Rfam family "Bacterial small subunit ribosomal RNA", at positions 327 to 662 of the family's 1533-position model. The record is from RNAcentral. Lineage: Bacteria; Pseudomonadati; Pseudomonadota; Gammaproteobacteria; Alteromonadales; Pseudoalteromonadaceae.